This is a long non-coding RNA of Sphaerodactylus townsendi, 323 nucleotides long. RefSeq lists it as uncharacterized. The transcript has 3 exons. The record is from RefSeq and is a predicted model, not a curated record. NCBI's taxonomy places the organism in Eukaryota, Metazoa, Chordata, Lepidosauria, Squamata, Sphaerodactylidae.
CCUCCCAUCAAGAAAUAGGAGGACACACCAGAAGUGCCCAGGGAGGCUCUGAUGAACUCCUUGGAACUGGCAGUGAAGUUGAACAGAUCUGAGUCUAUUCUGAAGAAGCGGACUCCCCAGAACCAACCUCACUGAUGAAGCAGAAGAAGACCCCCCCCCCCUUUCUCCAUGGAAUCCUUAUGCACUAGAAAAAAGAAACAAGAAUAACAGAGACAGCAGGUUCCAUUGAAGUUGGCAGUGCUCAGUGCUUGAUUCACUCAUGCUCAUGGGAAAAAGAAAAAAAAAUUGUUAAGCUCUGGAAAUGGGACCGGUGAUGCCAAAGA